CUUACUUUUCUGCUAGUUAUUCUCUGGUGUUCCUUUUGUCCAUAUGUCUUUCAAAUUCUGGGUAACAAAUUAUUGUUUUUGCAGUAUGGACAGAAGGGUACUAUUGCUUCUAGUCGCGCUCAGCAGCUGCUGGUGUUGUAAUGCUAGAGACCUGACAGGUAAUUUAGUUGGUGAGAACAUUGAAAUUGUUAAGGUUUAGCUAACGAGGCAAUUUUGGUUCGUUUUCUUGGAAAAAGGAUUACUUUGAAAUAUUGGUUGAUCUUGCCAUAUAGUAUUAGUGAGCUCAAUUUAAUGAGACAAGUGGAUUUAGUUUUAUGCCUCUCCAUCUCCUUUGAAGCUUUGGUGCACGUAAAAAAGCUAAAAAAUAUGUGCUCCACUUUGUAGAAACUCUAAAAACUAUAAAAAGGAUAGUUUUUUUUUAUCAUUCAAUACUUUAAAUCCCUGUAGUAAAUCACACUAGCAAGAAUCCUCCUCCCAAAACAAGUUUCGCUAGCUGAUAACGACAUUUGUUUUCCUUUCAAAUGCAUGCUUCGUUCAAUUUCUACUACCUGUUGGUUUCUUUCUGAAGCUAAAAUAUCUGAUUUAGAUCGUUUAGAAAGAGAUUCUAGCAAGUACUAUACUAAUGCUGGUCCUAUGUUGGCAGUCCUGCAGUCGAAUGACAAGGGAGAAGCUCUAUAUGUGCAAGAAGUUACCAAGAAUGAAGAUUUCUGUGCAUUGUGUUGAGAGUUUGCUUCUGAGGCUCUUAGUUACCUUACACUAAAUAAAACCCAAGCAGAGAUCAUUACCAUUCUUCACAAAUCCUGCUCUAAG
This 810-nucleotide long non-coding RNA is filed under the name Salvia miltiorrhiza (redroot sage). RNAcentral describes it as "long non-coding RNA (SMIL_LNC010355)". The record is from RNAcentral. Lineage: Eukaryota; Viridiplantae; Streptophyta; Magnoliopsida; Lamiales; Lamiaceae.